RNAcentral lists this long non-coding RNA (643 nucleotides) under Gallus gallus (chicken). Its description in RNAcentral is "long non-coding RNA NONGGAT011666". The record is from RNAcentral. Lineage: Eukaryota; Metazoa; Chordata; Aves; Galliformes; Phasianidae.
CCUACUUACCCCCCUCUAUUGUGCUAGAGACCACCCAGCAUGUCUCACUCUACACUCUACAACCCCACUUGCUCACCAAACCAUCACUACCAACCAGGCUGGCCCUUGUGGCCCUGCCUAGACCUUCAUUCACAUUGACUCCCUCCAUAAGUGACGUCUGAGGAAGCUGAUGCUUCCAGCAGAAUGCACUAGGAGAGCUCUUUGAAAGGUCAGAUAGCAGCUGGGAACCUGACCCCAUACAGCUCUCUAUACACUAUUUUCCAACAGCUUUCUUACCUGCAACCCUUUAUAGCCUCUCAUGACUUUUUUUUUUUUUUUUUUUUUUUUAAACAUGAGUUUUGCUGCUGACGUGCUCCAGACCAGGCAUCCCUUACUCUGAAAGCUAACAGAAGGCACCAGAAUCCCCUGGGAUACUUUGUCACUGCAUCUCUGUGUGGACAAAGAUGACAGCAGCUGACACAAGAAAAACAAGUACAACUUCGGGAACAAAAUCCAUGUUGCGUGACGUUCCCCAGGCUGCUAAGCACUGGAAUCUGUUGUACUCAGUGCUCACUCUGCACAAGACAAGCUCGAUGCACAGACCAAAACACAAGCUGAGAGCCCAGCCCAGCCUGGUAAGCCUGAGAAACACGUUUCCUCCAGG